AUUGAACGCUGGCGGAAUGCUUUACACAUGCAAGUCGAACGGUAGAGGGGGCAACCCCUUGAGAGUGGCGAACGGGUGAGUAAUAUAUCGGAACGUGCCCAGUCGUGGGGGAUCACGUAGCGAAAGUUACGCUAAUACCGCAUACGAUCUAAGGAUGAACGCGGGGGAUCGCACGACCUCGCGCGACUGGAGCGGCCGAUAUCAGAUUAGGUAGUUGGUAGGGUAAAGGCCUACCAAGCCAACGAUCUGUAGCUGGUCUGAGAGGACGACCAGCCACACUGGAACUGAGACGCGGUCCAGACUCCUACGGGAGGCAGCAGUAGGGAAUUUUGGACAAUGGGCGAAAGCCUGAGCCAGCCAUUCCGCGUGCAGGAUGAAGGCCCUCGGGUUGUAAACUGCUUUUGUACAGAACGAAAAGGUUUCUAUUAAUACUAGGAGCUCAUGACGGUACUGUAAGAAUAAGCACCGGCUAACUACGUG
This 480-nucleotide ribosomal RNA is filed under the name uncultured bacterium. RNAcentral describes it as "partial 16S ribosomal RNA". It matches the Rfam family "Bacterial small subunit ribosomal RNA", at positions 30 to 507 of the family's 1533-position model. The record is from RNAcentral.